Molecule: ribosomal RNA, 434 nt
Filed under: uncultured bacterium
Lineage: Bacteria
Description: partial 16S ribosomal RNA
Rfam family: Bacterial small subunit ribosomal RNA
Source: RNAcentral
AGCGAACGCUGGCGGCAGGCCUAACACAUGCAAGUCGAACGAACCUUUCGGGGUUAGUGGCGGACAGGUGAGUAACACGUGGGAACGUGCCUUUAGGUUCGGAAUAACUCAGGGAAACUUGUGCUAAUACCGAAUGUGCCCUUCGGGGGAAAGAUUUAUCGCCUUUAGAGCGGCCCGCGUCUGAUUAGCUAGUUGGUUGAGGUAAUGGCUCACCAAGGCGACGAUCAGUAGCUGGUCUGAGAGGAUGAUCAGCCACAUUGGGACUGAGACACGGCCCAAACUCCUACGGGAGGCAGCAGUGGGGAACCUUGCGCAAUGGGCGAAAGCCUGACGCAGCCAUGCCGCGUGAAUGAUGAAGGUCUUAGGAUUGUAAAAUUCUUUCACCGGGGACGAUAAUGACGGUACCCGGAGAAGAAGCCCCGGCUAACUUCGUG